Triticum aestivum (bread wheat) is the source of this 788-nucleotide long non-coding RNA. RefSeq lists it as uncharacterized. The transcript is spliced from 3 exons. The record is from RefSeq and is a predicted model, not a curated record. Lineage: Eukaryota; Viridiplantae; Streptophyta; Magnoliopsida; Poales; Poaceae.
CUGAUGGUCAGGUUAUUCAGGUGGAGGUAGUAGCUUGCUAAUGGUGGCUUUCACGUCCAGCGCAAAUACUAGUGGACGUGGACCUGUUGGGGAAAGCACGUACAUCUUUGUGUUUAGUGAGCAGGUUUCGGAAGAAAGAAAUACUCAAUGCCAUUCGGUGGUUUUCAAUGUGCCAGUGUCUACAUUCAUAGUACAUCAUUGAGUUUUACCUUCAACUAAGACUAUUUCCGUUGAGGUGAUUAUUUAUUUAUUCCUUUAUUGCUUAGAUUAGCUCUAACCAUUUCAGCCUUCUUUUCUGCUCUUAUUCAACUAUUUAUGUACUCCUAUCUCACCAAUUGUGUACCUAUUGUUGUGUGUAAUUUAAUGUGAGGCGCCGCACUCAUCCGUUCCAGCACUGCCGAGAUGGAGGCGACAUCACGGACGGCUGGAGCUGCGAGUAGAUUUGUCCAAGAUACAGCAGUGUUCGUAGUCAUAGUUCUGAUUCAAAAGAUAUACGGAUGAUUAUAUGGGUGCGUGGCAAGUAUACUGCAAUGAUGAUGAUGAUGUUCCUGGUUCACGAUGAAGACGAUGAUGGCUGUUCUCAGUUUUAGUUUAGUUGUAGGGAUGCUUUUCCUGUUGGAUGAUGUUCCUUGGUUAAGUUUUAGUUUAAGUUGUAGGGAUGUUGAUGGAUGAUUUCAGUUUAAGUUUUGCUGUCAAGAGAAUAUUCAGGUUAUGCAUCACAUUUGGAUGUUAUUCCUCCUGUGAUAUCAACUAUUGUAAUCCCACAGUUGUUUUCAAUAUAUGAUUUC